AUUCAUUGAGUGAUACUCCUUUCAGUAGAGCCCGUAGAUACCAAAUUGCGAGUUCCAGUGUCACCCAUUACAUUUAAUGAAGUAUUUAAACCAUUUUUCUCUCAGAGAGUUGGCCACAAAGUGUUGCUCUAAUUCCUAUGUGUCUCUUCCCCACGCUUCAUCAAAGCUCAGCUAUUGAGAAGUCGAGAGAGAGGAAACGGUGACAUUUAAAGUGUUGGGGUUACAAAUAGGCCUUGUUAGGACCAGGGAUUUAGCUCAGUGGCACCGUGCCUUCCUCACAAGCGCAAGGUCCUGAUUUCAAUCCUUGUACCAAAAAAAAGACAAGGCCUUGGGUUUUCCCAUAGGAGGUUGGGUAUUCUUGUUUAUUCCUUGUCUUGACUAGGUUAGAGAGACUUCGUAGAGCAGUGGUAGUGAACCUACAGCAUGACAUGCAUGCCACAGCAGGAUGCUUGUUAGCAUUGAAAGCUUUAAAAGGUGCUCUUGGCCAGGGAUUUAGCUCAGUGGUGAUGCAUCUGCCUCACAAGCGCAAGGUUCUGAGUUCGAUCCCUGGUACCGGAAAAAAAAAAAAGGUGCACUCACUUGUCUAGGGAUGUGUGAAGAAGUGGCCAUUACCAAAAAAAAAAAAAGAAGUGGCCAUGUAGUGUUGAUGAAAGUACGCCGUGAGCUGAGGAAUGUACAGUGUGAGCAGUCAUCGGAAGUUAGCAGAAGAGGUAGCGCAGACUAGAUGGUGGAAGAGUCUAGGAUGUGAUGGCAGUUGGCCUCGGAAUUAUGAUGCUUGUGAGGGAUGGGCAGCCCUUUCCUUAUUUAAUUCUGCAAGACAUCUGUUUUUUAAAAGCCUUGAAGGUACUUUGGUCAUGUAAGGCAUAAAGUGGCAUUUUGUAGAUAAGUUUAAAAGUACGCAGCUAGAGAUGCGGGGUGUAGCUCAGCGACAACGCUUGCUUAACUGCACCUUGGUUCCCCAGCAGUGUGGUGGGGGGAGGAAGCAUGCAGACCGGAAAUAGCAUGACACUCCCUUAGGAAUGGGAAGCGCUGAUCUUCCCUGGUGGCGCCCUGAGCCUGGUGGAGGCUGGGUGAGCACUGCAGGGUAAAUGUGGGUGCGAUAGCUGUGCUCACCAGCGCUGGG
RNAcentral lists this long non-coding RNA (1123 nucleotides) under Heterocephalus glaber (naked mole-rat). Its description in RNAcentral is "lncRNA (ENSHGLG00000045700.1)". The record is from RNAcentral. Lineage: Eukaryota; Metazoa; Chordata; Mammalia; Rodentia; Bathyergidae.